This 292-nucleotide ribosomal RNA is filed under the name uncultured bacterium. Its description in RNAcentral is "partial 16S ribosomal RNA". It matches the Rfam family "Bacterial small subunit ribosomal RNA", at positions 505 to 796 of the family's 1533-position model. The record is from RNAcentral.
GUGCCAGCCGCCGCGGUAAUACGUAGGGUGCAGGCGUUAAUCGGAAUUACUGGGCGUAAAGCGUGCGCAGGCGGUUUGCUAAGAGAGAUGUGAAAUCCCCGGGCUUAACCUGGGAACUGCGUUUCUAACUGGCAAGCUUGAGUGCGGCAGAGGGGGGUGGAAUUCCACGUGUAGCAGUGAAAUGCGUAGAGAUGUGGAGGAACACCGAUGGCGAAGGCAGCCCCCUGGGUCGACACUGACGCUCAUGCACGAAAGCGUGGGGAGCAAACAGGAUUAGAAACCCGAGUAGUCC